RNAcentral lists this ribosomal RNA (585 nucleotides) under uncultured bacterium. RNAcentral's name for it is "partial 16S ribosomal RNA". It matches the Rfam family "Bacterial small subunit ribosomal RNA", at positions 355 to 1375 of the family's 1533-position model. The record is from RNAcentral.
UGGGGAAUUUUGGACAAUGGGCGAAAGCCUGAUCCAGCAAUGCCGCGUGUGUGAAGAAGGCCUUCGGGUUGUAAAGCACUUUUGUCCGGAAAGAAAUCCUUGGCUCUAAUACAGUCGGGGGAUGACGGUACCGGAAGAAUAAGCACCGGCUAACUACGUGCCAGCAGCCGCGGUAAUACGUAGGGUGCAAGCGUUAAUCGGAAUUACUGGGCGUAAAGCGUGCGCAGGCGGUUUGCUAAGACCGAUGUGAAAUCCCCGGGCUCAACCUGGGAACUGCAUUGGUGACUGGCAGGCUAGAGUAUGGCAGAGGGGGGUAGAAUUCCACGUGUAGCAGUGAAAUGCGUAGAGAUGUGGAGGAAUACCGAUGGCGAAGGCAGCCCCCUGGGCCAAUACUGACGCUCAUGCACGAAAGCGUGGGGAGCAAACAGGAUUAGAUACCCUUGUAGUCCACGCCCUAAACGAUGUCAACUAGUUGUUGGGGAUUCAUUUCCUUAGUAACGUAGCUAACGCGUGAAGUUGACCGCCUGGGGAGUACGGUCGCAAGAUUAAAACUCAAAUGAAUUGACGGGGUCAUAGCUGUUUCCU